AUAUUGGUGGUGAAGUGAUGUCACCUACGGCCUUUAUUGUUCCAUUUCUCUUCAAUUGUUGGAGUGAAUUCUGUCCCACGAGAUUGAUGGAUGUAUAAGGAAGCUGUUCUCAUGAGUUCAGAAAUGGCUUAGCAGCACAAGAUUCAGUGGACGUGCCAGGCCCGCAAGGAAGAAAGAAACUCUGUAUAAACUGAAGAAGAGAUUUCUCUUAAGGAAAUU
Long non-coding RNA from Ochotona curzoniae (black-lipped pika), 219 nucleotides. RefSeq lists it as uncharacterized. The record is from RefSeq and is a predicted model, not a curated record. NCBI's taxonomy places the organism in Eukaryota, Metazoa, Chordata, Mammalia, Lagomorpha, Ochotonidae. The transcript is spliced from 3 exons.